Molecule: long non-coding RNA, 3070 nt
Organism: Camelus dromedarius (Arabian camel)
Lineage: Eukaryota; Metazoa; Chordata; Mammalia; Artiodactyla; Camelidae
Exons: 3
Source: RefSeq, a predicted model, not a curated record
ACGCGCGGGGCUCCGCGGCGUGCUGGGUCCCGGCUGGCCCCGCGUGGCCCGGCGCUUGCCCGAGCGCCUCUCCUUCUUAGGCCUCUGUUUUAAAGGCUGGAGCCAGGGGCGGCCAUGCGACACGACUGGCCAACGAGCUCUAAGUGGCAACUGAGGUGGUUUCAGAAGUGCUUCUCACGUUCCCAGGGAGGCCACCGUGCCAAGCCUGCUGGGGACGGGAGCCCCGGUCCCGCGCCGUGGGGCUGCGGCCAUGCGGGAGGAGCCCUGUGAGCCACAGGACCGUGCUUUCUGUUGCCUGAAGGCGGCUUCUCCGCUUCCUGACGCAGUCUGUCUGCUUCCCCAAAUGUGUGUGAUACGUUCACAAGCUGGGGGCGAAUUACUUUGCAGAUAAUUUUUAAAACUCACCUGUUAGUAUGAAACCUUGCAGACUGUGAUUUUCUCUUAAUCUGCCUUUCUGCUAAGUCACCCAAACUGAAGGAGAGUUCAGCUCUUCGUUUUGUUCCAACAAGCACUUCUCUGUGAAUUGCCACGUAUACAUAGGUGGUGUUUUUGGCACUGGGAAUGAAAAAAUGACAAGGUAGUCAUCUUUGCUUUCAAAGAGUUCAUAGUUCUUAUUUCAGAGACAGAAGCAAAAACAACGCAAGGUGAAACGCGUGAACAUAGGCCAUGUCCCCUGACUGAGCUCCGUGGGCGUCAUGACAUCUUCAGUCCCAGCCUUGACACGUAUCUCAUACGCAGUAAGUUGGCAGUAAAUCUGCUGACUGUGUGCAAAGUACUGAGGUCACGGGUGACUGAGCAGAUCUGUUAGGUGUGGCAGUGAACAAGGGGCCAUGUGUGCUGGGUCUUGAAGGAGGAGGAGGCAUGGCCUCUGGAGAGGAGGGCCUUCCUGACGGGACUGCAAGGAAGGGCAGUGGAGCGCGGCUGCCCUGCGGCCUUCUGGCCUUGGCCUGGUUCUGAUUUGAUCCCCAGCUCUAUUAGUUUUUAAAAUGAACUGUUAAUUUGAGAUUUACAGAUUGCUGUGACCAUUGCACAGAGUGCCCUUACGUUGUCCCAGCUUCUUAUCUUACCAUUAGUAUGGUACAUUGUUACAGUUAAUGACCCAUGUUGACACGUCACCACAUACUCACAGGACAUGUAUUAUUAUUAAGAUAUUUUGUACUUUAUUCAGAUUUCUCUAGUUUUUAGCUGAAGUCCUUUUUCUGUUCUAGGACCCCAUUCAGGAGACAGAACUACGUUUAGUCUUCUUAGGUUCCUUUUGGUUGUGACUGUUUCUCGGACUUGCCUUGUUUUUUGAUGACCCUGACAGUUCUGAGCACUGGGAAAGUAUUUUGUAAAAUCCCCCUCAGCUGGGACUGGUCUGGUGGUCUUCUUGAGGGUAGACUAGGGUCGUGUUUUAGGGAGAGGAGGGCGGCAGAGGUGAAGUGCGUUCGGAUCACAUUGAAUCGGGGUGCACGCCGCUGAUGCCGACCUUGGUCACCUGGCUGAGGCCGUGCUUGUCAGGUCUCCGCUCUUCGGAAGAAAGUCACUGUGCACAGCCCCCACUCAGGGAGCAGGAGGUCUGUUCCACCUCCCCAGGGUGGAGUAGCUACAUAAAUUAUUUGAAUUCUGCGUGGAAGAUUUAUCUGUUCUUCCCCCAUUUGAUUACUUACUCAGCCAUUUACACCAGUAUGAGCACAUGGUGUUUAUGUUACACUUUGGGGUAUAAUCCAGUAUUACUUUAAGUUGCUCAAAUUGUUCCAUCACUGGCUACUAGAAACUUCUGCAGUGGUUACCUGUGUCCCUUUGGCCUUCGACAUCACAUUGCUGCGUGGUGUCUGUUUUUUAGGAGAGAGGAGAGAGGAACCACAGGAUGCUCCAGGCUCACCUUGUCUGUUUCCUGCGCCAUUCCUGGGGUCAGCCAUUUCUCCAGGGAGCCAUGGUUCCUUUUGCUGGGGAGCCAAGACCUGGCCAUUAGGCUGCUGAAGCCCCAGCCAUCACAUCUGCUUUCCACCUGCAAGAAGGAGAAAGGGGUGGAAGAAGAGCUUAUGAGGAACUGGAGAUGCCUGAAGAACUCCAAAACUUACUUUGAAAGGUGAGACGCAGGCUGCCGCAUCGCUGUGGCAGCCCGAGGGCAGUGACGGAGCUGGACGCCCACUCCUCUGCCAGCCCGGGUGUGCGGCUGCGCCCCGCCUCCCACGUCCCGCCCCCGCGCCUUCCCCAGGCUGCGCCUCCUCCCUCCGAGGCCUUCUCUGCGCACCCAGAGGUAUGAAAAGAGUUCGGCUUUCUUGCAACAAUCUAGUAAGUGUGGGCGUUACCAGAGAAAAGAAAAGGGAAGACUCAAAAUAAAAGCAGUCCCUAAAAAUACAAGCUCUGGUCCCGCAGGAAGUCUGCAGGAGGCCGGGCCGAGGAUGGAGGAGGAGAGUUUUCUCACAUCUCCCGGGUCCAGUGAGUCACCACCUUCACGCUGACUCACGGUCUCUGACUCACUGAGCUCCUGUCAGUGUGUUCCCAGGGCUCCCGCAGAGGGGAGCUUCCUGUCUGCCGAGAUCGUGUCCCUCUCAAGGCUGUGCUCACAUUUCUGUCCCCUCUUCAGCCUUAGAAGCACGAACAGUUGUCACUGCGCCCCAGGCGGCAUACUCCGGCGCGCUUGUCCAGGAGCCGUGGGAAGGGCUCGGUCACGGCUCACUGAGUCCAGCGCUGGGGGCGGACAGGGGCGGGGCGGGACUGGGACAGGUGGGCGCCCCCCUGGCCCCGCUCCUUCCGCUGAGUUCAUCCUCACGCCUCUCCGUCUCCUCUGAGGCCCCCGCCGCUGGAGUGUAACCCGCUCUGGGCAGCAGGUGUGGCGCAGGACCCCUGCACUCAGCAGCGUCUGGCCAAAGGCUCCAUCCUUCUUGAGAUCAAAAGUAACGAUUUCUCUUUAAGAAAGACGCGCUGCUUCUCUGCAGCCCCCUCAGUGGGCUGAUGAAACUCGUAAGGAAUUUGCCUCGGCUGUAAGAGUGCUGUGCAGUUGCCACCUUCGCUCCAUUGCACUGGUGGCAGGGGUUUUAUAACGACGACCAGGCAGGAAUAAAGGCUGCACUUUUCCCUCCGA